This 250-nucleotide ribosomal RNA is filed under the name uncultured bacterium. Its description in RNAcentral is "partial 16S ribosomal RNA". It matches the Rfam family "Bacterial small subunit ribosomal RNA", at positions 1251 to 1500 of the family's 1533-position model. The record is from RNAcentral.
GAGAUGGUGACAUGGAGCAAAUCCCAAAAAUAACGUCCCAGUUCGGAUUGCAGCCUGCAACUCGGCUGCAUGAAGCUGGAAUCGCUAGUAAUCGCGGAUCAGAAUGCCGCGGUGAAUACGUUCCCGGGUCUUGUACACACCGCCCGUCACACCAUGGGAGUAGGUAAUGCCCGAAGUCGGUGACCUAACCGGAAGGAAGGAGCCGCCGAAGGCAGGACUUAUAACUGGGGUGAAGUCGUAACAAGGUAGC